Sphaerodactylus townsendi is the source of this 138-nucleotide long non-coding RNA. RefSeq lists it as uncharacterized. The record is from RefSeq and is a predicted model, not a curated record. Lineage: Eukaryota; Metazoa; Chordata; Lepidosauria; Squamata; Sphaerodactylidae. The transcript has 3 exons.
UCUGGGAUGGGCCCUCGGGGCUGCCUGUUAGAAUAUUUGGCAUCUCUUGUAUGAGCUAUUGCAGGAGCAAGAUAGUUGCACCAUUUGGUUUGCUCAUGUUAAUGCAAGGCAGGUGAGCAGUUAAUUGGUUGGUUGAGG